AUAUUUACCUGACUGAGGAGAUACCCUGAUCACAAAAGUGGUUUUCCCGGGGUGAGGCUUAUCCAUUGCACUCUGGAUGUGUGACCCCUGUGAUUUCCCUAAAUGUAGGAAACUCGACUACAUAAUUUAUAGUAGUGGAGGACUGUGUUUGCACUUUCCCCCU
Molecule: small nuclear RNA, 163 nt
Filed under: Carlito syrichta (Philippine tarsier)
Lineage: Eukaryota; Metazoa; Chordata; Mammalia; Primates; Tarsiidae
Description: U1 spliceosomal RNA (ENSTSYG00000027632.1)
Rfam family: U1 spliceosomal RNA
About the family: U1 is a small nuclear RNA (snRNA) component of the spliceosome (involved in pre-mRNA splicing). Its 5' end forms complementary base pairs with the 5' splice junction, thus defining the 5' donor site of an intron.
Source: Rfam by way of RNAcentral